CUACGUGCCAGCAGCCGCGGUAAUACGGAAAGUCCAGGCGUUAUCCGGAUUUAUUGGGUUUAAAGGGAGCGUAGGCCGUGGAUUAAGCGUGUUGUGAAAUGUAGACGCUCAACGUCUGAAUUGCAGCGCGAACUGGUUCACUUGAGUAUGCGCAACGUAGGCGGAAUUCGUCGUGUAGCGGUGAAAUGCUUAGAUAUGACGAAGAACUCCGAUUGCGAAGGCAGCUUACGGGAGCACAACUGACGCUGAAGCUCGAAGGUGCGGGUAUCAAACAGGAUUAGAUACCCUGGUAGUCCGCACAGUAAACGAUGGAUGCCCGUUGUUAGUUCACUUAUGAAUUAGCGACCAAGCGAAAGCAUUAAGCAUCCCACCUGGGGAGUACGCCGGCAACGGUGAAACUCAAAGGAAUUGACGGGGGCCCGCACAAGCGGAGGAACAUGUGGUUUAAUUCGAUGAUACGCGAGGAACCUUGCCCGGGCUUGAAUUGCAGACGAACGAUUCAGAGAUGAUGAGG
Molecule: ribosomal RNA, 514 nt
Filed under: uncultured bacterium
Lineage: Bacteria
Description: bacterial SSU rRNA
Rfam family: Bacterial small subunit ribosomal RNA
Source: RNAcentral